AAGAUAUGGGUUCAACAACGUGAAUACGAUGAUGAAGAAGAUUUUGGAAUUAAUUUUGUAGAUGACUCUUCAGACGAUGGUGAGAAAUGUAGUGGCGAUGAAAAGAUAACAUUAGUAGUGUUUCCAAUUCCAAAAGGAGGUAGCUAUGCUAAGAUAGGAUCUGGAAGCAGGCUCAAUUCAACAACUCAGAUUUAUCCGCUAGCUCAAGGCAGCAACAUGGAGAAAUAACCACAAGUAAAACGAGGUUGAUAGGAGAGGCAGUAGCAAUUCUGGGCAACAGCAGCAGUUCACUUCAUCUGUUUCUACUGCUGAACGUGGGCAGCAGCAGGUGAAUGAAAAUAUCACUCACAACGGCUCUAAUAAGUGUACCAACAAUCACUUUAGAUGACAGAAUGUUACUUGAUGCGUUGGUAAAUCCCGCACCUUUCGAAAACUUAAGUGUAACUAAUGUUGCUAGCAAUGGAAGAACAACCAACACCAAUAACAAAAAUCAAAGAAAUGCAGUCUUUGUCACUAAAGAGGAUAACACUUUGGUAUCACAAGAUUUUCCUCAAGAAAUUCCAAAACCUAUAAAUUUAGGCAGAGAUGUUUAUGAAGAAAGUGAGGAACAUAUUACUCUAAAUCAACUCCGGGCAGCGGCAGCGAGGAAAGGCGAUUUGUCGCCAUUUCAUAGCGGAAAAAAUAGGAAAUCUAGAACAAGGGAUAGAAGCUGGGAUGGCAGGCAACAUAGCUACGAUUGAAAAGCAACACAAGAUGUUGCCCUUAAGAAACCACCAAUGAGAAAUGCAAAGCAAAAGGCGAGUGUACCUACCACUUCCGCAAGGUCAAAUAAAUCCAAAAAGAAAUGACAAAGUUUGAAGAUUAUUUGAAAAAAGCGGAAGAAGAAGCAAAAGAGCUACAAAUUGGAGAAUGCACAAGUUUAAACAAAGAAGACACAGACUCAAUUUGUUACAUUGUAUUAUUUUACCAUUUGUUAAGUAUUAUCAUCUAUAAUAUCAUCAGAGAGUAUGCUAUAAACUCUAUGAUAAUCACUGAACAUUUAGUCUUAGCAAUUUCUUUCUUUUUGCAUGAUUGCUAGUGAGGUUAAUUUAUGCCUCGAGAGGAUUAGUACAAUAAGGGUAGCCCGGUUGCGUUAUAUAGGUAACAAUACUGGUGCUUUUGUACCCCUUAUUUGUAUUUUUUCUAUUUGUUGUAUUUUCUUACUGUUUUAUGUUAUUAAUAUAAAAACCAACCGUAGGCACUUUCCUAGUGGAAUAAAAAAAAACAUUUGUACAAAACCAUUUAAAUACCAAUCAAAUAAGACUAUGCAUAACAGAAAAUUGAGCUAACAUUUUAUUUCUGAAAAUUUUAACUAGUGAAACAAAAAUCAACUAACUAAUCAUUCUGCAUUAUAGACAUCAAUUCGAACUUAAAAAGUUCUUAUAAACAAACAUGUGCAAAUCAAUGCAUGCCUUUGCUCUUAAAUCAACCUUGACAAUUUUAGUUUUCUCGUCACAUGAUUUUACAUUAAUUACUUCUCAAGCGGGUUAAGCUCAAUUGAAUUCUUAUUAAUAGUAACAGUAACAAACCUAGGAUAUUAACAUCCAAUUUACUUGAAGUCCAGAAAUCACACUAAAAUUCUUAACAUAGUUCAUGGGCGUUUAACACUAAAUAAGAAUCAGAUGCAAAGUACAGAAUAUUAUUUUUAACCAUAAUACAUGGAUAUAUCUUGUCUCUUCAAAAGAACAACUAUAACACGCACAUACACUCUUAAUCAAGCUGAUCCCAAAUAAGAGUGCCCCAUUUUAUCUUAUGUACAUGUUAAAUGGCUCAUCCACAAGGCUUAUACACACAACUUCUGAGCAUGCUACUCAACAUUUAAACUAAACAUUCACCCUUACUAUCGACCACAGAUUUCAUAAUAUGUAAGUAACAAAAGAGAAAGCCUCGAUAACUUUUAUAAUUCAAAAUCUACUACAGAAUGAUUAAGAAGUAGAAGAAACAGAAGAACUAAGUUCAAAUACAGCGUGUACUCAACCAUUCUUCCACUCCAAAUACAUGCUUACAAUCAACUUUGUUGUCCAUAGUUUGGGAAAUUACUUGGAAAUUGAAAAGGGAACAACAAGGAGUAAGGAGUUAACAAAAAUAGCAGCAGAAUUAGCUUAACCCCAACAAUAGAAUAGUAAUGAAACCAGCUUGCAACCCAAAUUUUAGAGGUCCAAUACUCAAAUUAUUUCGACCCAAAUGAUAGACAUUGUAAUUUUUAAUAGUAUUAACUAAACAACGAGGAUCAUAAACAAAAAACCAAGAAAGAUUUGGGUAGUUUUCAACAAAGAAAUGCAUAAAAUUCGGGGAUAUUUCAGAGUGCCAACCGUUUAUGUUUUUAGGAGUUUUUUUAUCUCUAAAAAUCAGACUUCAACCUAAAGAAAGUAUGCCUUUAUAGGCAAGCUUCUAGGGCUUCAGAAAUGACUAUGUUUUGCACUUUAAACCUUUUUGAGUUUUUAUUUUUAAUCAAAUACCCUUAGUUCAAAAUUUAGUUUUCCAAAAUAACCCCAAUUCCCAGCUUCUUAGAAGUUUCCCAAGUUUGUUAAGAAAGAUCCCCUACCUAUAUUUCAUAAUUUACCCUGUAGGAUCCCUGCUUCCACCUAAAAAAACUAGAUAGAACAUCGUUCAAAUUGACCCGAAACAAUUUGUUAUGGAUCUGUAUAACCCAGGUUGAACCACCUUUUGCACUUUCUGAUUUUUAUUACCCAAGUCAACAUUGAAAGUUCAAAACUCUCAAAUACUCAUUUAAGGAGUGUUAAAGACUCGUGACUUUUGGGCCCAAAUAGGAACAAAAAUUAAAACACCUUCAAACAUAAAACCAGGAAACAAAUACUAACUAAAUAAUCUAAAAUAACAUGCAAACACAAAUGAUUUGAAGAGAUGGAAAAAUGGAGAACAAAAACUCAGAAAAUAAAAGGAAUAAAUAGAAGAAGAUGAGUAGUGAAGUAUAAAAGUAAAAAUUAAAUAACAUAAGAUAAAGAAAUACCUAAGAACUUGUCGUCGAAAGUGAAAAAUCGAAAACAGCUUACAAAUCUUAAAAUUUCUUUUGCAAGUAUGACUUUAAUUGUGUGUUCUUAUCAAGAACAAACGAAGAACAUCAAAGUAAACCUAAUUUCUCACUAAAAUCUUGAUUUUGCGGCUUUUGGGAUUUUACAUUUCAUAAUUUUGAUUCAAGAUUCGAAGAGUUCCGAACUUAUCCGAGGGCAAAGGGUAAUAGAUUUGGUAUGAGGGAGUCAUUGGGGUUGUAUGAUGUUAAUUUGGGCCGGUUUGGGGGUGGCGCCACCAGCUAGAGACUGAGCGAAAUGGGGCCGACACUUUAGGGUUUCUUUUGGUAUCUGAAGAGGGGUGAAGUGAGAGAGUCGAUUAGAGGGGGAUCGGGCAUUUGGACAGUU
Molecule: long non-coding RNA, 3416 nt
Filed under: Nicotiana benthamiana
Lineage: Eukaryota; Viridiplantae; Streptophyta; Magnoliopsida; Solanales; Solanaceae
Description: long non-coding RNA (NBEN_LNC012593)
Source: RNAcentral